This 785-nucleotide ribosomal RNA is filed under the name uncultured Methanogenium sp. Its description in RNAcentral is "bacterial SSU rRNA". It matches the Rfam family "Archaeal small subunit ribosomal RNA", at positions 1 to 793 of the family's 1478-position model. The record is from RNAcentral. Lineage: Archaea; Methanobacteriati; Methanobacteriota; Methanomicrobia; Methanomicrobiales; Methanomicrobiaceae.
UUUCCGGUUGAUCCCGCCGGAGGCCACUGCUAUCGGGGUUCGAUUAAGCCAUGCGAGUCGAGAGGGUUUAGACCCUCGGCGGACUGCUCAGUAACACGUGGAUAACCUGCCCUAAGGUGGAGGAUAACCCCGGGAAACUGGGGAUAAUACUCCAUAGAUUAGAGAUACUGGAAUGUUCUUUAGUCAAAAGUUCCGGCGCCUUAGGAUGGAUCUGCGGUCGAUUAGGUUGUUGUUGGGGUAACGGCCCAACAAGCCUGUAAUCGAUACGGGUUGUGGGAGCAAUAGCCCGGAGAUGGAAUCUGAGACAAGAUUCCAGGCCCUACGGGGCGCAGCAGGCGCGAAAACUUUACAAUGCAGGAAACUGUGAUAAGGGAACCCCGAGUGCCCGUAUACGCGGGCUGUCCAGGUGUUUAAAAGUCAUCUGAAGAAAGGGCCGGGCAAGACCGGUGCCAGCCGCCGCGGUAAUACCGGCGGCUCGAGUGGUGGCCACUAUUAUUGGGCUUAAAGCGUCCGUAGCUGGACUGAUAAGUCUCUUGGGAAAUCCGCCGGCUCAACCGGCGGGCGUCUAAGGGAUACUGUUGGUCUAGGGACCGGGAGAGGUGAGAGGUACUCCGGGGGUAGGAGUGAAAUCCUGUAAUCCCCGGGGGACCACCGAUGGCGAAGGCAUCUCACCAGAACGGCUCCGACAGUGAGGGACGAAAGCUGGGGGAGCAAACCGGAUUAGAUACCCGGGUAGUCCCAGCCGUAAACUAUGCGCGUUAGGUGUGCUGGUGACCACGUGUCAC